This 468-nucleotide ribosomal RNA is filed under the name uncultured bacterium. Its description in RNAcentral is "partial 16S ribosomal RNA". It matches the Rfam family "Bacterial small subunit ribosomal RNA", at positions 28 to 507 of the family's 1533-position model. The record is from RNAcentral.
GAUGAACGCUGGCGGCGUGCUUAACACAUGCAAGUCGAACGGAAAGGCCCAAGCUUGCUUGGGUCCUCGAGUGGCGAACGGGUGAGUAACACGUGGGUGAUCUGCCCUGCACUUCGGGAUAAGCCUGGGAAACUGGGUCUAAUACCGGAUAGGACGAUGGUUUGGAUGCCAUUGUGGAAAGUUUUUUCGGUGUGGGAUGAGCUCGCGGCCUAUCAGCUUGUUGGUGGGGUAAUGGCCUACCAAGUCGUCGACGGGUAGCCGGCCUGAGAGGGUGUACGGCGACAUGGGGACUGAGAUACGGCCCAGACUCCUGCGGGAGGCAGCAGGGGGGAAUAUUGCACAAUGGGCGCAAGCCGGAUGCAGGGACGCCGCGUGGGGGAUGACGGCCGUCGGGUUGUAAGCUCCUAAGGCUAGGUACGAAGCGUUUUUGUGACGGUACCGGGAGAAGAAGCACCGGCUAACUACGUG